UACGUAGGGGGCUAGCGUUGUCCGGAAUUACUGGGCGUAAAGAGUGUGUAGGCGGCCCUGCAAGUCGGAUGUGAAAUCCCACGGCUCAACCGUGGAAGUGCAUUCGAAACUGCAGGGCUAGAGUCCUGGAGAGGAAGGUGGAAUGCUUGGUGUAGAGGUGAAGUUCGUAGAUAUCAAGCGGAACACCGGUGGCGAAGGCGGCCUUCUGGACAGUGACUGACGCUGAGGCGCGAAAGCCAGGGGAGCAAACGGG
RNAcentral lists this ribosomal RNA (253 nucleotides) under uncultured bacterium. RNAcentral's name for it is "partial 16S ribosomal RNA". It matches the Rfam family "Bacterial small subunit ribosomal RNA", at positions 524 to 776 of the family's 1533-position model. The record is from RNAcentral.